UAAGGAAUAUUGCGCAAUGGGGGAAACCCUGACGCAGCAACGCCGCGUGGAGGAUGACACUUUUCGGAGCGUAAACUCCUUUUAUCAGGAAAGAAUAAUGACGGUACCUGAUGAAUAAGCACCGGCUAACUCCGUGCCAGCAGCCGCGGUAAUACGGGGGGUGCAAGCGUUACUCGGAAUCACUGGGCGUAAAGGACGCGUAGGCGGAUUAUCAAGUCUUUUGUGAAAUCUAGUGGCUUAACCACUAAACUGCUUAGGAAACUGAUAGUCUAGAGUAGGGGAGAGGUAAAUGGAAUUCUUGGUGUAGGGGUAAAAUCCGUAGAGAUCAAGAAGAAUACCCAUUGCGAAAGCGAUCUGCUGGAACCUAACUGACGCUGAGGCGUGAAAGCGUGGGUAGCAAACAGG
RNAcentral lists this ribosomal RNA (405 nucleotides) under bacterium. RNAcentral describes it as "partial 16S ribosomal RNA". It matches the Rfam family "Bacterial small subunit ribosomal RNA", at positions 355 to 776 of the family's 1533-position model. The record is from RNAcentral.